This 513-nucleotide ribosomal RNA is filed under the name uncultured euryarchaeote. RNAcentral describes it as "bacterial SSU rRNA". It matches the Rfam family "Archaeal small subunit ribosomal RNA", at positions 54 to 571 of the family's 1478-position model. The record is from RNAcentral. Lineage: Archaea; Methanobacteriati; Methanobacteriota.
CGAGUCGAGAGGGUUCGGCCCUCGGCUGACGGUUCACUAACACGUGGAUAAUCUGCCCUAAGGUGGAGGAUAACCUCGGGAAACUGAGAAUAAUACUCCAUAAGUCUAGGAUGCUGGAAUGCACUUAGGCUGAAAACUUCGGUGCCUUAGGAUGAGUCUGCGGACUAUCAGGUUGUAGUCAGGGUAAGGACCUGACUAGCCUACGACGGAUACGGGUUGUGAGAGCAAUAACCCGGAGAUGAUAUCUGAGACACGAUAUCAGGCCCUACGGGGCGCAGCAGGCGCGAAAACUUCACACUGCGCGGAAGCGCGAUGAGGGAAUCCCAAGUGUAUGCACGUAAGUGUAUACUGUUUCUUUGUCUAAAAAGCAGAGAGAGUAAGAGCUGGGUAAGACGGGUGCCAGCCGCCGCGGUAAUACCUGCAGCUCGAGUGGUGAUCGUUAUUAUUGGGCCUAAAACGUCCGUAGCCGGUCUUGUAAAUGCCUGGGUAAAUCGUAUGGCUUAACCAUACGAA